GACGGCCCCAGCGCGUUGGUUGCGCCCCGCGGCGGCAAGACGUGUGUGCGGUGCCGUGCUGCCACGUAUUGCUGCGGCGCUUGCCAGCUUGUGGACUGGCGUGAGCGGCACUCUGGCACCUGCAGUGGAGCCGCCGCGGCGGCGGCAGGGUCAGCAGGGACAGCGAAGGCAGCGCUGAAGAAGGCAUGAAUGCUACGGGCGAGCCCUCAGUAGCCUGCGGCGGCGGUGGCAGCAGCGGGAGCAGUAGCAGGAGCAGUAGUGGGCAGGGCAGCAGCAGCGAUGGGCCGGUAUUUGAGCACAAGCUGUGCUACAACCCGCGCUGCUGCUCGCUGGACGGCCCCAGCGCGUUGGUUGCGCCCCGCGGCGGCAAGACGUGUGUGCGGUGCCGUGCUGCCACGUAUUGCUGCGGCGCUUGCCAGCUUGUGGACUGGCGUGAGCGGCACUCUGGCACCUGCAGUGGAGCCGCCGCGGCGGCGGCAGGGUCAGCAGGGACAGCGAAGGCAGCGCUGAAGAAGGCAUGAACUGACGAAGUGCAACAGCAGUAUGGACCCGAAGACUGCGCUUCAAAUGCGG
Molecule: long non-coding RNA, 573 nt
Filed under: Chlamydomonas reinhardtii
Lineage: Eukaryota; Viridiplantae; Chlorophyta; Chlorophyceae; Chlamydomonadales; Chlamydomonadaceae
Description: long non-coding RNA (CREI_LNC000645)
Source: RNAcentral